GUUGUUGAUAUUUUGUUAUUGUUCCAGAACGCGUCAUGUAGCUCCGGAAGUAUAAUUACCUUGGUCAUCUGCUGAUUUGGGAUUAAACCGGAUUCCCACGUGGAAAAGGCCUGAAAGAAGAGCUGUUUGGGCUUGACUCCUCAAUCUGACCCUCGGUUAUCAGCCACUGAUCCAGCUGUCGCGUGUCGCUCAAUAACCUACAGCCUGAUUCUCCAUUAGAUGAGACCUCUGACAUUCUGAAGAGCAGGACGACGACAACAACAAAAGUAAAUCCGCUGAGGUCUAAUGUUGUUUAGAGCCCAGUCUUUGUGACCCACACUAAGCCUGGAAUAUCAUGAGGGCUAUUGAAAUGAAGAUGGACAUUAGAUCUCUGUCCUGCAUCAUUGGUGUGUUUCAGAUGGACAGCAGCC
Danio aesculapii is the source of this 410-nucleotide long non-coding RNA. RefSeq lists it as uncharacterized. The transcript has 4 exons. Lineage: Eukaryota; Metazoa; Chordata; Actinopteri; Cypriniformes; Danionidae. The record is from RefSeq and is a predicted model, not a curated record.